Molecule: long non-coding RNA, 1386 nt
Filed under: Chrysemys picta bellii (western painted turtle)
Lineage: Eukaryota; Metazoa; Chordata; Testudines; Emydidae
Description: lncRNA (ENSCPBG00000013136.1)
Source: RNAcentral
GAAAUGAAGAAGGAAAAAAACCUUCUUUGCUGCCAGUCUGAGCAAAAAAUCACAAAAAAUCCAUCAGCUAGAAGAACUAAAAAUAGCCCAACACUUUCUAAAGGAGACCAGAAUUAUGCUGAAGAGAUGAAAAAUAAGAGUUUGUCUCAGAAAAUAGAACUGGAAGCACAAGAAGCCGAGCUUCAGCAUUUAAAAACCAACAAUAAAUUGCUCCAGGAUUCAGUCCAGGAGCUACAACUUGAAAAUGGAACCCUUAAGAAUAUGAACAAGGCUUUAGAAGAAGAAAAAGUGCUGAUGAGGUUGCCAACUCCCUACAUGAGAAUGAGCCGGAGUAUGAGACAGACGGAUUCCCAGAGGUGGUGAAAAAAGUCAAAUUUGUAAUGACCGACAAACACACAGAGAGACUGCAGGCCAAAGUGAGAAACAUAAAAUUGUAUGGCUCCUCAUUUCAUUGCCUGAAACUGAGAAGCUGGAUAAGUGAUGAGGUACAUUUAAGUAACACUAAACAUGUAUUUGUUACUGGGAUUAAUUCAUCAAUUAUUGAAAUUGUGCCUUUUCUUUCAUGUGUUGUAGGUUAUUGAUGCAUAUUUGAGCUGUGUGGUCGAGAAAGCAGAUGGAAAGGUAGGGUACUUACUGUGACGGUACAUGAAAGUAUGCAUUAAUUCAGUAAGUAAACAAUCAUGUGAAUAUGUGGCACAACAUAAAAGACCAAAUAUCCUUGAAAUAACAACAUAAACCUGAAAUUGCAACAUUUCUGUGUAUUUACUGCUGCUAAACAUUUGCUGAAAUGUAUUUGGAGGUGCAUAUCGGACAUACAAUAGAGGGCCACAUUAGUUUUGCUGUACAGUUCAGUGGGUCCAUUAAUUGAACACAAGUAUGCGAACAGCUUAGUUGGUUUUUACAUUAAGUAAGACAAAGCACAUUGAUUACAAAUCAUUUUUUUUAUAGAACUCUCUUAUAUAUCCAUAUCUGAUUUGUAACACUAAGGAUCCCUUGCAUGUCUGUCUAUAUUAAAUUCAUUAUGUUCUUAACGUGCCAGAAUUAUUAAUGCAUUAAUAACUUUGUUGACUGUCAACAGGUACAAGCCAUCUCAUCAGUCGUUUCUACUUUCAUUCUCUCAGACAGAGCUCCACAAAUGAAAGUGAAGGUAAAUGCUAACACACUUUCAUACAUAGCAUGAGCAAAGCACAAUUUCAUUCAGUGAGUUAAACACAGUGUGAAACAGCAAAUACAACGGUGUGUUUGAUGUGGAGGAGUAGUCUAAUAGCAAUACAUGUAAUGAAACUGGGAAAUACAGUAUAAUGUACAUUUCAUUGUUUGCUUCACUGGAAACUAUAAUUGCAUUUCUAAUUUUUUUAAAAAAUAAAUACAGAGUGAAUUACUUCA